RNAcentral lists this ribosomal RNA (512 nucleotides) under uncultured bacterium. RNAcentral describes it as "partial 16S ribosomal RNA". It matches the Rfam family "Bacterial small subunit ribosomal RNA", at positions 28 to 507 of the family's 1533-position model. The record is from RNAcentral.
GAUGAACGCUGGCGGCGUGCCUAAUACAUGCAAGUCGAACGAAACCUCUUUAUCACCGAGUGCUUGCACUCACCGAUAAAGGGUUGAGUGGCGAACGGGUGAGUAACACGUGGGCAACCUGCCCAAAAGAGGGGGAUAACACUUGGAAACAGGUGCUAAUACCGCAUAACCAUAGUUACCGCAUGGUAACUAUGUAAAAGGUGGCUAUACUACCGCUUUUGGAUGGGCCCGCGGCGCAUUAGCUAGUUGGUAGGGUAAAGGCUUACCAAGGCAAUGAUGCGUAGCCGAAUUGAGAGGUUGAUCGGCCACAUUGGGACUGAGACACGGCCCAAACUCCUACGGGAGGCAGCAGUAGGGAAUCUUCCACAAUGGGCGAAAGCCUGAUGGAGCAACGCCGCGUGGGUGAAGAAGGUCUUCGGAUCGUAAAACCCUGUUGUUAGAGAAGAAAGUGCGUGAGAGUAACUGUUCACGUUUCGACGGUAUCUAACCAGAAAGCCACGGCUAACUACGUG